Long non-coding RNA from Ailuropoda melanoleuca (giant panda), 750 nucleotides. RefSeq lists it as uncharacterized. The transcript has 4 exons. The record is from RefSeq and is a predicted model, not a curated record. Lineage: Eukaryota; Metazoa; Chordata; Mammalia; Carnivora; Ursidae.
UAUGUUUUCUAUGUUGUCCCAGUGCACUUUCCACGUAACGUUCCUCAGCCCGGUUUACAUUGUGUUAACCUUGAAUAGCUUCCUGUGUUCUUCUAGAAUUCAGUAAACAUUCUUUCAGUUUCUCUUCAUAGUUGAGGAAGGAAAAAAGGUUCCUUCUGUAAUGAUGUCUAAUGUUGCUUCUCUAUUAUGUUUUCUGCUACACACUUGACACAAAUGACCGCUAUCUCCCACCACAGCUUCUGCUUCUUCAAGCUGGAUGUCGAAGAUGAAGACCGCAGGUGUGUGUCUUUUCACACCUGUGUCCUCACGCCUGACACCGUGCCUGGCUCAGUUUCGCAAGAGUGAAAACCAGGGAAAAGCCUGAAAAAAGAACCUGUAGGACAAAUAGGACCGGGGAGUGCCCUUCGUCAAUGGGACAGAUGGAGCCAGCCAGACGCCCUGAGAAGGGAGCAACUUUGAAUGAUGGUGGCAGCAGGUGGCCUAAGAGGAAGUGAGAAAAACAUUCAAUAAGGAACUCCUGAGAAAAAAAAUUCUUGGACUCCGAAGUCCAGCGUCAUUCCCGCCCACCCUGGUGUAUAAACCCCAGGAUGAGGAUGAGCAGCUCAUAGCGAAGGAGCCCCAUUCAGGCAAGCGUUGCUGUGCUCCUUACUAUACCUCCCUCCUCCAAAAUGGAGCUAAUUUUAAAAUCAAAAGACAACCUGUAGGGGCGCCUGGGUGGUGCAGUCGUUAAGCGUCUGCCUUCGGCUCAGG